RNAcentral lists this ribosomal RNA (355 nucleotides) under Bacillus glycinifermentans. RNAcentral describes it as "bacterial SSU rRNA". It matches the Rfam family "Bacterial small subunit ribosomal RNA", at positions 38 to 382 of the family's 1533-position model. The record is from RNAcentral. Lineage: Bacteria; Bacillati; Bacillota; Bacilli; Caryophanales; Bacillaceae.
GGCGGCAUGCCUAAUACAUGCAAGUCGAGCGAACAGACGGGAGCUUGCUCCCUGAUGUUAGCGGCGGACGGGUGAGUAACACGUGGGUAACCUGCCUGGAAGACUGGGAUAACUCCGGGAAACCGGGGCUAAUACCGGAUGCUUGUUUGAACCGCAUGGUACAAAAAUAAAAGGGGGCUUUUAGCUACCACUUACAGAUGGACCCGCGGCGCAUUAGCUAGUUGGUGAGGUAACGGCUCACCAAGGCGACGAUGCGUAGCCGACCUGAGAGGGUGAUCGGCCACACUGGGAUUGAGACACGGCCCAGACUCCUACGGGAGGCAGCAGUAGGGAAUCUUCCGCAAUGGACGAAAGU